Molecule: ribosomal RNA, 441 nt
Filed under: uncultured bacterium
Lineage: Bacteria
Description: partial 16S ribosomal RNA
Rfam family: Bacterial small subunit ribosomal RNA
Source: RNAcentral
CCUACGGGUGGCAGCAGUGGGGAAUAUUGCACAAUGGGGGAGACCCUGAUGCAGCAACGCAGCGUGAGUGAAGAAGUAUUUCGGUAUGUAAAGCUCUAUUAGCAGGGAAGUAGAAUGAAGUUACCUGACUAUGAAGCAUCUACUAACUACGUACCAGCAGCCGCGGUAAUACGUAGGGGGCAAGCGUUAUCCGGAUUUACUGGGUGUAAAGGGAGAGUAGGCGGAUGUGCAAGUCUGAAGUGAAAGCUCGGGGCUCAACCGCAGAACUGCAUUUGAAACUGUAUAUCUUGAGUACUGGAGAGGCAGGCGGAAUUCGUAGUGUAGCGGUGAAAUGCGUAGAUAUUAGGAGGAACACCAGUGGCGAAGGCAGCCUGCUGGACAGAAACUGACGUUGAGGCUCGAAAGCGUGGGUAGCAAACAGGAUUAGAUACCCUUGUAGUC